AUUGAACGCUGGCGGCAUGCCUUACACAUGCAAGUCGAACGGUAACGGGUCCUUCGGGAUGCCGACGAGUGGCGAACGGGUGAGUAAUAUAUCGGAACGUGCCCAGUAGUGGGGGAUAACUGCUCGAAAGAGCAGCUAAUACCGCAUACGACCUGAGGGUGAAAGGGGGGGAUCGCAAGACCCCUCGCUAUUGGAGCGGCCGAUAUCAGAUUAGCUAGUUGGUGGGGUAAAGGCCUACCAAGGCAACGAUCUGUAGUUGGUCUGAGAGGACGACCAGCCACACUGGGACUGAGAUACGGCCCAGACUCCUACGGGAGGCAGCAGUGGGGAAUUUUGGACAAUGGGCGCAAGCCUGAUCCAGCAAUGCCACGUGCAGGAAGAAGGCCUUCGGGUUGUAAUCUGCUUUUGUCAGGGAAGAAAUCUUCUGGGCUAAUACCCCGGGAGGAUGACGGUACCUGAAGAAUAAGCACCGGCUAACUACGUGCCAGCCGCCGCGGUAA
Molecule: ribosomal RNA, 500 nt
Filed under: uncultured bacterium
Lineage: Bacteria
Description: partial 16S ribosomal RNA
Rfam family: Bacterial small subunit ribosomal RNA
Source: RNAcentral